RNAcentral lists this ribosomal RNA (425 nucleotides) under uncultured bacterium. Its description in RNAcentral is "bacterial SSU rRNA". It matches the Rfam family "Bacterial small subunit ribosomal RNA", at positions 359 to 776 of the family's 1533-position model. The record is from RNAcentral.
GAAUCUUCCGCAAUGGACGAAAGUCUGACGGAGCAACGCCGCGUGAGCGAUGAAGGCCUUCGGGUCGUAAAGCUCUGUUGUUAGGGAAGAACAAGUACCAGAGUAACUGCUGGUACCUUGACGGUACCUAACCAGAAAGCCACGGCUAACUACGUGCCAGCAGCCGCGGUAAUACGUAGGUGGCAAGCGUUGUCCGGAAUUAUUGGGCGUAAAGCGCGCGCAGGCGGUCCUUUAAGUCUAAUGUGAAAGCCCACGGCUCAACCGUGGAGGGUCAUUGGAAACUGGGGGACUUGAGUACAGAAGAGGAAAGUGGAAUUCCACGUGUAGCGGUGAAAUGCGUAGAGAUGUGGAGGAACACCAGUGGCGAAGGCGACUUUCUGGUCUGUAACUGACGCUGAGGCGCGAAAGCGUGGGGAGCAAACAGG